GACAACGAAGCUCAGUGGAAGAGCGCAGGGCUUUGCCCUGAGGUUGCUGGUUCGACUCCAGCCGUUGCCA
Molecule: transfer RNA, 70 nt
Filed under: Phytophthora kernoviae
Lineage: Eukaryota; Oomycota; Peronosporomycetes; Peronosporales; Peronosporaceae
Also listed under: 1 other name
Rfam family: tRNA
About the family: Transfer RNA (tRNA) molecules are approximately 80 nucleotides in length. Their secondary structure includes four short double-helical elements and three loops (D, anti-codon, and T loops). Further hydrogen bonds mediate the characteristic L-shaped molecular structure. tRNAs have two regions of fundamental functional importance: the anti-codon, which is responsible for specific mRNA codon recognition, and the 3' end, to which the tRNAs corresponding amino acid is attached (by aminoacyl-tRNA synthetases). tRNAs cope with the degeneracy of the genetic code in two manners: having more than one tRNA (with a specific anti-codon) for a particular amino acid; and 'wobble' base-pairing, i.e. permitting non-standard base-pairing at the 3rd anti-codon position.
Source: Rfam by way of RNAcentral